GUGCCAGCCGCCGCGGUAAUACGGAGGGUGCGAGCGUUGUCCGGAAUCACUGGGCGUAAAGGGCGCGUAGGCGGCAUGCCAAGCGUGUGGUGAAAGCCCGGGGCUCAACCCCGGGUCGGCCGUGCGGACUGGCGUGCUCGAGCACUGUAGGGGCGGGUGGAAUUCCGGGUGUAGCGGUGGAAUGCGUAGAGAUCCGGAAGAACACCGGUGGCGAAGGCGGCCCGCUGGGCAGGAAGGAAGCGUAAGCUUCCGGCUGACGCUGAGGCGCGACAGCGUGGGGAGCAAACAGGAUUAGAAACCCCCGUAGUCC
RNAcentral lists this ribosomal RNA (310 nucleotides) under uncultured bacterium. Its description in RNAcentral is "bacterial SSU rRNA". It matches the Rfam family "Bacterial small subunit ribosomal RNA", at positions 505 to 796 of the family's 1533-position model. The record is from RNAcentral.